GGUGUAGACAUGGUUGUAUGGACG
RNAcentral lists this non-coding RNA (24 nucleotides) under Arabidopsis thaliana (thale cress). The record is from RNAcentral. Lineage: Eukaryota; Viridiplantae; Streptophyta; Magnoliopsida; Brassicales; Brassicaceae.